Molecule: ribosomal RNA, 464 nt
Filed under: uncultured bacterium
Lineage: Bacteria
Description: partial 16S ribosomal RNA
Rfam family: Bacterial small subunit ribosomal RNA
Source: RNAcentral
CUACGGGACGCACCAGUGGGGAAUAUUGCACAAUGGGCGCAAGCCUGAUGCAGCCAUGCCGCGUGUAUGAAGAAGGCCUUCGGGUUGUAAAGUACUUUCAGCGGGGAGGAAGGGAGUAAAGUUAAUACCUUUGCUCAUUGACGUUACCCGCAGAAGAAGCACCGGCUAACUCCGUGCCAGCAGCCGCGGUAAUACGGAGGGUGCAAGCGUUAAUCGGAAUUACUGGGCGUAAAGCGCACGCAGGCGGUGUGUUAAGUCAGAUGUGAAAUCCCCGGGCUCAACCUGGGAACUGCAUCUGAUACUGGCAAGCUUGAGUCUCGUAGAGGGGGGUAGAAUUCCAGGUGUAGCGGUGAAAUGCGUAGAGAUCUGGAGGAAUACCGGUGGCGAAGGCGGCCCCCUGGACGAAGACUGACGCUCAGGUGCGAAAGCGUGGGGAGCAAACAGGAUUAGAUACCCCAGUAGUC